Molecule: long non-coding RNA, 676 nt
Organism: Suricata suricatta (meerkat)
Lineage: Eukaryota; Metazoa; Chordata; Mammalia; Carnivora; Herpestidae
Exons: 2
Source: RefSeq, a predicted model, not a curated record
CUCGUCACGGAGGCGGCCAGCGUGCCACCGAGCUCUAGACGGAGCCCUGGGACAGGGCUCGGGAUCCGCGGCAGCGGGCUUCCCUCGAAACAACUUCCUGCUCGCCUGGCCUGGAGCGUAGGAGCUUCGGGGAGAAGUUCUAGGCCGCAGCUCUGCGCUCUCCGAGCCCGACAACUACACUGCGACACCCUGGGGCCGCGCGGUUCCCUCCCGCGCCCCCUCCCGGGGGUCGCGCCAGGCAGGGCUCUAGGGCUCGGACACUGGUGAUCAUGCCAAGAAGGCCCCAGCAGCUCGAACUGCCUGCUCCGCAGGGGCGCCGGCGUGGUUUCCCCCACAGAGAGGCCGGCCUGGGCCUCUGGCGCUGGGGGACGACACUGGGUCACUCUGCUCGGACCCCCUCUCCCUGUCCGGGCAUGCCCUCUCUCAGAGCCAGAUGGACCUGGCUGUCCCCGGACGCCCGAGACGGGGGGCCCAACAGGAACAAGGCCUCCUGGGCCCCUAUUCUGUGCCUGUCUCCCCCCAGCACCCCCCUCCCUGUCCCCCCCCACUCGCCGCCGGCCUUGGCAUUCUAGCCAGUGUCCCUUGACGUCACAUCUCGCCAUUUCUGUCAACCAAUUGAAACUUGCUCGUUGUCAUAAAAAUAUAUAUACUUUUUAUGCCAUUGGUACAUUCAAAA